UCCGAAUUGGUGUAGUGGCUAACAUUUGACGCUCUCAAAAGAUUGCACGUUGAAAAAUGUGUGAUGUAGAACAGUACCGUCAAGCCCGGGGUUCGAUUCCCCGAUUCGGAG
This is a non-coding RNA of Xylaria digitata, 111 nucleotides long. NCBI's taxonomy places the organism in Eukaryota, Fungi, Ascomycota, Sordariomycetes, Xylariales, Xylariaceae. The record is from the annotation of a GenBank genome assembly.